This 1052-nucleotide small RNA is filed under the name Pan troglodytes (chimpanzee). Its description in RNAcentral is "processed transcript". Lineage: Eukaryota; Metazoa; Chordata; Mammalia; Primates; Hominidae. The record is from RNAcentral.
GUUUGAGCUGCUGAAGCAUCAGAAACUCAAGGACCAGAAUAUCUUUGUCUCCCGAACCAGGCUCUGCCUGCACAAUCUCCCAAAGGCUGUAGAUGACAAACAGCUCAGAAAGCUGCUGCUGAGUGCUACUAGUGGAGAGAAAGGGGUGCGCAUCAAGGAGCAAAAAAUGAGAUCCAAGCCUGCAACUGGUGAGCCUCAGAAGGGGCAACCAGAGCCUGCAAAAGACCAGCAACAGAAGGCAGCUCAACACCACACAGAGGAACAAAGCAAGGUGCCCCCAGAGCAGAAGAGAAAGGCGGGCUCUACCUCAUGGACCGGGUUCCAGACCAAGGCUGAAGUGGAGCAGGUGGAGCUGCCUGAUGGAAAGAAGAGAAGAAAGGUCCUGGCUCUCCCCUCACACCGAGGCCCCAAAAUCAGGUUGCGGGACAAAGGCAAAGUGAAGCCCGUCCAUCCCAAAAAGCCAAAGCCACAGAUAAACCAGUGGAAGCAGGAGAAGCAGCAAUUAUCGUCCGAGCAGGUAUCUAGGAAAAAAGCUAAGGGAAAUAAGACGGAAACCCGCUUCAACCAGCUGGUCGAACAAUAUAAGCAGAAAUUAUUGGGACCUUCUAAAGGAGCACCUCUUGCAAAGAGGAGCAAAUGGUUUGACAGUUGAUGAUGCCAGCAGGCUGGGUAAGAAGCUGGGUUGUGUACUUUCUGGUGACACUCCUGGGCUCCUCCCCAUCCCCCGUGUCUCUCACUGAGGGAAAGAAAAUCCCCGAGGGCACUGCCACUGUGCUCGGAGGUGCCCUGGACUGUGUACAUCUGAACUUUGGUCCAUCCUUUGAUGUGUGGUUCAUUAGCCACAAAGAGAAAUAUCUGAAAGUCAACAUGAUGCUUCUUGCAUAUUAUCCAGAUUAUUGUAUGAAGUUGUGUCUAUAAUUAUUACCAAUUUUUAUUCUUUAUUUCUCAAAUGGAAACACCUGAAAAAGCAUUCUGGAGUGCUGAAUUUUUAAGAUGUAUAUUUUGUUAAGCAUAUUCUCUAAAUGAGAUAUUGUGUGGCUUUUUAGUAACAA